This 858-nucleotide ribosomal RNA is filed under the name uncultured bacterium. RNAcentral's name for it is "SSU rRNA". It matches the Rfam family "Bacterial small subunit ribosomal RNA", at positions 524 to 1381 of the family's 1533-position model. The record is from RNAcentral.
UACGUAGGGGGCGAGCGUUGUCCGGAAUGAUUGGGCGUAAAGGGCGCGUAGGCGGCCUGUUAAGUCCGAAGUGAAAUUCCUGCUUUCAAGGUAGGAAGUGCUUUGGAAACUGGUUAGCUGGAGUGCAGGAGAGGUUAGCGGAAUUCCCGGUGUAGCGGUGAAAUGCGUAGAGAUCGGGAGGAACACCAGUGGUGAAGGCGGUUAACUGGACUGUAUCUGACGCUGAGGCGCGAAAGUGUGGGGAGCAAACAGGAUUAGAUACCCUGGUAGUCCACGCUGUAAACGAUGAAUGCUAGGUGUAGGGGGUAUCGACCCCUUCUGUGCCGGAGUCAACACAAUAAGCAUUCCGCCUGGGGAGUACGGUCGCAAGGUUGAAACUCAAAGGAAUUGACGGGGGCCCGCACAAGCAGCGGAGCAUGUGGUUUAAUUCGAAGCAACGCGAAGAACCUUACCAGGUCUUGACAUUCACUUAAUCUCACGGAGACAUGGGGUCCCUUCGGGGGAAGUGAGACAGGUGGUGCAUGGUUGUCGUCAGCUCGUGUCGUGAGAUGUUGGGUUAAGUCCCGCAACGAGCGCAACCCUUAUUUUCAGUUACUAACGCGUAAAGGCGAGGACUCUGAAGAGACUGCCGGGGUCAACUCGGAGGAAGGGGGGGUGGACGUCAAAUCGUCAUGCCCCUUAUGGCCUGGGCUCCCCCCGUGUUCCAAUGUCCGCUCCAAAGAGGAGCGAGCCCGUAAGGGGGAGCGGCUCUGAGAAAAGUGGUUCCAGUUCAGAUCGUGGGCUGCAAUCCGCCCCCGUGAAGUCGGAGUUGUUAGUAAUCGCGGUUCACCAUGCCGCGGUGAAUACGUUCCCGGGCCU